RNAcentral lists this ribosomal RNA (385 nucleotides) under uncultured bacterium. RNAcentral describes it as "bacterial SSU rRNA". It matches the Rfam family "Bacterial small subunit ribosomal RNA", at positions 28 to 402 of the family's 1533-position model. The record is from RNAcentral.
GACGAACGCUGGCGGCGUGCUUAACACAUGCAAGUCGAGCGGUAAGGCCUUUCGGGGUACACGAGCGGCGAACGGGUGAGUAACACGUGGGCGACCUGCCCUCAGCUCUGGGAUAAGCCUGGGAAACUGGGUCUAAUACCGGAUAUGACCACAUGUCGCAUGGUGUGUGGUGGAAAGUUUGUUCUUAAUUGGACACUUCGGCUGGGGAUGGGCCCGCGGCCUAUCAGCUUGUUGGNGGGGUGAUGGCCUACCAAGGCGACGACGGGUAGCCGGCCUGAGAGGGCGACCGGCCACACUGGGACUGAGAUACGGCCCAGACUCCUACGGGAGGCAGCAGUGGGGAAUAUUGCGCAAUGGGCGGAAGCCUGACGCAGCGACGCCGCGU